GCUCCUGUGUGUCCCUCCAGCCUUCCUGCAGGAUGCCUCGCUUCGUCUUUUCCGACUGGAAGUAUCGCAAAUCCUGGAGGGUGGAGAGGUGUAAACCGUAACUUACUGUAUAUUCUUCAGACCGAAGCACAACGAGGCAGACGAGCGUCAGGUCGGAGCAGAAGAGAAGCACAAAAAAAACACAGUUAGCCAAUAGCCAUGAAUCCAUUUACGCUGAGAAUAUAGACAACAGAAAAGGGGAAUUUAAGUUGAGCUUAUCCGUACGGCCUUUUUAUUGGAUUAAAUACGUCAAAAAGAGCUCAACAAGUAAGAACUCAUAACAGACAUUAAAACUGAUUUUAAAAAGUUAACAAAUUAGAAUCUACUGUUCAUCACUGAGCAGACAGACAGCAGCGUUAAAGGUGGAGAAAGAAGCGGAGGAAAAUGACAAGAAAAGAAAAAGAAAAGGGCACUGAAGUAGAGCACUAAGCCGCUGCGACCGUACGCGCUGCCAUGGCAACCGCAGAUUACAGAUAAAACAAAAAAAAAUAAGUAAAACAACUUAAAAAAAAAAAAAAAAGUCUUACAGAUUUGAUCUAAAGUUUUACCAGGUUUGAUGCAGGUUUCACCAACUCAUAUUUAAGACGUUUAAGGAUGUUUUUUUAAGACCAUUCCAAAAAAAAUUUAAGACAGAAAUGUUUUUUUUUUGUGUGUGUCAAGGGACCAAAACUGUGAUAUUUGUGGGGUCGUUUUGUAGCUUUUUUCCCCCAGCAGCAGCUUUGUGCUGCUCAGAUGGCGAACUACUCUCCACAGCACUGACCCUCGCAGCGCCAAACUUUUCGGGGUUUUUUUGUUGUUUUUUUUGUUUGUUUUUUUUUGCAUAGAAUGGGUUUGGCAACAGAAGUUAGCAAGUGGCAAAGAUGAAUGUCGUCCAGCCGUCUGAUAAUAAAUUUGCACUCCAUAGACUAAUCAUAGAUAUAAAAAAAAAAAAAAAAAAAGAGUUUUAUUUCACAUUAUUGAAAGCAGAGUUUAGGGGUUAAACGUGCUCUCUAGUUUCUAAUAAACAACACAUUGUACUCCAAAAAAUAAAUAAAAAAUACAUGUGCAAGGCUGCAAACAUUGCUCCAAAAUUGCAAACAAGAUUGCCGAAUUACAUAGCAUAUGUCAGGAGUUUCACAGGGUUUUUU
Long non-coding RNA from Poecilia latipinna (sailfin molly), 1166 nucleotides. RefSeq lists it as uncharacterized. Lineage: Eukaryota; Metazoa; Chordata; Actinopteri; Cyprinodontiformes; Poeciliidae. The record is from RefSeq and is a predicted model, not a curated record. The transcript has 2 exons.